UUUUGACAUGCUGCUAAGAGGAAGGAAGACAGCUCCUGUGUGGACUCAGAAGACGCAACUGGAAAGUUAUUAAAAACCACUGACCCAUUGACGGAAGUGACGCACUCUUCGCGCAUGCGUGGAACAACUACCAAACAUUUCGAAAAAUGCGACGGCUUCUCUACUCCAGAGUGAUGCAAAGUUUUGGUUUUGGAUUACCUGCUAGUCCAGGAGCCAAAGGUGGACCUGGAGUUAAAGACGAGCCUGGUCCCAGAGGUCAUGCCGGCAUGUCCGGUGACCCUUGACCUUUGGGAAGCAAAGGAGAGAGAGAGGAGCGAUGGGCGUUCCAGGUGCUCAAGGUCUGAGUGGAACCAAAGGAGACAAGGUGUCCCCCAGGGUUGGGUGCUUGGUCCACUUCUCUUCAUUGUACAUGCUCCCCCUCGGUAACAUCAUCCGCCGCCAUCACCUCCAAUUCCACUGCUACACAGAUGAUGUCCAGCUACAUCUCCACAAAAUCUCUCCACCCUGACCGACUGCCUCACUGAAAUCAAAUCAUGGCUGCACUCCAACUUCCUCAAACUCAACUGACAAAUCUGACAUGCUCAUCGUGGGCCCCAAAUCCCUCACCAAAACUGCUCACAACUCUACUCUGUCCCCAUCCACUCACAUCCGCAACCUCGGAGUCAUUCUGGACAAUAAGCUCUCUUUUCAACACCGGGUCAACCACAUCACAAGAACUGCUUUCUUCCACCUCCAAAAUAUUGCCCGUCUCCGUCCAUCCUUCUCUGCCGCUGAAACCCUGAUCCAUGCCUUCAUCACCUCCACACUUGACUACUGUAACGGCAUCCUCUACGACUCAUCUUGCAAAAUUCUCAAAGUCCAAUACAUUCAAAACUCUGCCGCCCGCCUGCUCAGCCACACCCGCUCCCGUGAGCACAUCACCCCAGUCCUCCAGAAACUCCACUGGCUCCCCAGUCCUCACCGGAUCCACUUUAAAUCCUCCUCCUCACCCACAAAGCCCUCCACAAGCAGGCCCCCUGCUACCUCACCAACCUGCUUCACCUCCAUACCUUCACGCAGCCUCCGCUCCUCUGAUGCCAACCUGCUCUCCCCACCAUGCAGAACCAAGCUUCGGACCUGGGGUGACAGCUUUCUCCAUCGCUGCUCCCACCCUCUGGAACACUCUUCCCAAACCCAUCCGUGACCAGUGUUGGGUUAGUUACUGAAAACCAGUAACUAGUUACUUUAUUUCAAAAGUAACUCAGUUACUUACACCAAAAAGUAAUGCGUUACUGUGAAAAGUAACUAUUUAAUUAGUUCUAUUUUUCUUUCUUUUUCUAAAGCUCCCAUUAAUGCCCUUUUAGCCUUCAUUUCAGUACUGUUAUUGCACUGGAGAAUAAUACAAUUUGUUGAUCAACUUGACUUUUUGAUUGAUUGAAACUUUUAUUAGAUUGCACAGUACAUAUUCCGUACAAUUGACCACUAAUUGGUAACACCCCAAUAAGUUUUUCAACUUGUUUAAGUCCACGUUAAUCAAUUCAUGGCAUGCAUUUUUAUCUUCCUUUUAACAUAAUUAAUGAAAAACAGUGCAACAUCAAAAGACACUUCUCCUUUCUUUAAACUUGGACCAAUGACCAAUAAUAAAAACCAAGUUAAAGUGCAACAUAAGAAGGCACAUCAUCUUCCUUGAAACAUAGGUAGUGAAAUAAAGCCUGACAUCUGGAGUGAUGCUGCUGUCUUCCACACUUGGAGUCAUGGAUUGUACAAUCCUUGUUUUCAGUGGCAGGAUCAUUGACACAGAUGGUGACGUUUCAGUGCUCAGUAGAGAUGGAACAGUUCUGAGGGGUUUAAGCACCUGGAGGACCUCCUCUGCCACUCUCACGUCAUCAUCAGACAGGUUGAUGUCUGACAUUUGUCUUCAGGGUGUUGUGGGUCAAUGCUGAGUAUAUAGCUGCCUGCUGCUCCAACAUAUCACAAAUUGAUUAACGUGGACUUAAACAAGUUGAAAAACUUAUUGGGGUGUUACCAUUUAGUGGUCAAUUGACCACUGAUGGAUGGAAUAUGUACUGUACUGUGCAAUCUACUAAAGUCUCAAUCAAUCAAAAUCAUACUUGAGCAGAGUAGACUUCUUUUAUUUUUCUGUUUUUCGGCUCAUCUUUCAGGCUCUCUGUCCUUUCCUCUCCUGCUCAGCAUCUGCUGCAAAGCUUGACUUGAAAUGUACGGAACGUGGAUCAGCUGCAGACCAACCAAGAGCUCUCCCAACUGAAAAAAAGGUAUGACGACUUGAGUGGGCUGAUAAUUAACUGUUUCAUUUGUAACUUGUAUUUUUGUAGCUUACCUUAACUGACACUUGUGUUUCAUCUCCGCUACUCACUCCGCCGCUCAUCGCUGGCUCCGCCGCUCCCUGCGCUGCGAUUCACUCUCCAAACAAUCAAUCAAUCAAUCAAUCAAUGUUUAUUUAUAUAGCCCUAAAUCACAAGUGUCUCAAAGGGCUGUACAAGCCACAACGACAUCCUCGGUACAGAGCCCACAUACGGGCAAGGAAAAACUCACCCCAGUGGGACGUCGGUGAAUGACUAUGAGAAACCUUGGAGAGGACCGCAUAUGUGGGUAACCCCCCCCCCCCUCUAGGGGAGACCGAAAGCAACGGAUGUCGAGUGGGUCUGACAUAACAUUGUGAAAGUCCAGUCCACAGUGGAUCCAACACAUCAGCGGGAGUCCAGUCCACAGCGGGGCCAACAGGAAACCAUCCCGAGCGGAGACGGGUCAGCAGCGCAGAGAUGUCCCCAACCGAUGCACAGGCUAGUGGUCCACCCGGGGUCCCGGCUCUGGACAGCCAGCACUUCAUCCAUGGCCACCGGACCUAUGCAACUCCCCCUCGCAAGGGACAGGAGAAGAGGAGAGAAGAAAAACGGCAGAUCAACUGGUCUAAAAAGGGGGGGUCUAUUUAAAGGCUAGAUUAUACAAAUGAGUUUUAAGAUGGGACUUAAAUGCUUCUACUGAGGUAGCAUCUCUAACUGUUACCGGGAGGGCAUUCCAGAGUACUGGAGCCCGAAUAGAAAACGCUCUAUAGCCCGCAGACUUUUUUUUGGCUCUGGGAAUCACUAAUAAGCCGGAGUUCUUUGAACGCAGAUUUCUUGUCGGGACAUAUGGUACAAUACAAUCGGCGAGAUAGGCUGGAGCUAAACCGUGUAAUAUUUUAUACGUAAGUAGUAAAACCUUAAAGUCGCAUCUUAAGUGCACAGGAAGCCAGUGCAAGUGAGCCAGUAUAGGCGUAAUAUGAUCAAACUUUCUUGUUUUUGUCAAAAGUCUAGCAGCCGCAUUUUGUACCAACUGUAAUCUUUUAAUGCUAGACAUAGGGAGGCCCGAAAAUAAUACGUUACAGUAAUCGAGACGAGACGUAACGAACGCAUGAAUAAUGAUCUCAGCGUCGCUAGUGGACAAGAUGGAACGAAUUUUAGCGAUAUUACGGAGAUGAAAGAAGGCCGUUUUAGUAACACUCUUAAUGUGUGACUCAAACGAGAGAGUUGGGUGGAAGAUAAUACCCAGAUUCUUUACAGAGUCUCCUUGUUUAAUUGUUUGGUUGUCAAAUGUUAAGGUGGUAUUAUUAAAUAGAUGUUGGUGUCUAGCAGGACCGAUAAUCAGCAUUUCCGUUUUCUUAGCGUUGAGUUGCAAAAAGUUAGCGGACAUCCAUUGUUUAAUUUCAUUAAGACACGCCUCCAGCUGACUACAGUCCGGCGUGUUGGUCAGCUUUAGGGGCAUGUAGAGUUGAGUGUCAUCAGCAUAACAGUGAAAGCUAACACCGUACUUGCGUAUGAUGUCACCCAGCGGCAGCAUGUAAAUACUAAAGAGUGCAGGGCCAAGAACCGAACCCUGGGGAACUCCGCACGUUACCUUGACAUAGUCCGAGGUCACAUUGUUAUGGGAGACGCACUGCAUCCUGUCAGUAAGAUAAGAGUUAAACCAAGACAAGGCUAAGUCUGACAUACCAAUACGUGUUUUGAUACGCUCUAAUAAAAUAUUAUGAUCGACGGUAUCGAAAGCGGCGCUAAGAUCAAGAAGCAGCAACAUAGAUGACUCAUCAGAAUCCAUCGUUAGCAAUAGAUCAUUAGUCAUUUUUGCGAGGGCUGUCUCCGUAGAGUGAUUUGCCCUGAAACCGGAUUGAAAAGGUUCACAGAGAUUGUUAGUCACUAAGUGUUCAUUUAGCUGCUGUGCAACAAUUUUUUCGAGAAUUUUGGAAAUAAACGGAAGGUGGGAGACCGGUCGGUAGUUUACCAUGAGGUCAGGAUCGAGGUUAGGUCUUUUGAGCAGAGGAUGAAUAACCGCUUUUUUGAAUGCUAGGGGAACAGUGCCGGAGGAAAGUGAUAAGUUUAUAAUAUUUAACACUGAUGGACCUAAUAAUACAAACUGUUCCUUGAUAAGUUUCCCAGGAAGUGGGUCAAGUAAACAUGUUUGUUUUAUCCCACUUACACGCUGUAAUAAUUCCUCGUUAUUUCAUCAAAAAUAGAGAGACUAUUUUGGAGGGCAGUGUCCGUCGUAUAUACAGUCGUAUUUGUGUUAAUAGAGCCCAGUUGUAGCUGGGAUGCGUUGUCUUUAAUCUCCUUUCUAAUGAGUUCAAUUUUCUUAUUAAAGAAAUUCAUAAAGUCAUCUGCCGAGUGGGUGGAGCUACUGGGAGGAGUCCCUUGUUGGGUUAGCGAUGCUACUGUACUAAACAGAAAUUUAGGAUCGUUUUUGUUGAGGCGGAUGAGAUUUGAGUAGUAUUUAGCUUUAGCUAAGGUAAGCAUGCGUUUAUAGGUUAUUAAACUAUCACUCCAUGCUUGAUGGAAAACCUCAAGUUUAGUCGCGCGCCGUUUGCGUUCCAGUUUUCUACAUGAUGAUUUAUGAGCUCUAAUUUCUUCUGUAAACCAUGGGGUGCGCCUUUUAGGGGCCCUUUUUUGCUUUAGCGGUGCUAUACUAUCAAUAAUUUCGCGCAAGGCAUCGUCAAAGUUGUUAGUGAGGUUAUCAAUAGAGCCGACAUAAUUUGGGAAUGGUGCUAUUACCGAAGGCAGUAGGUCAGCAAGAGUCAUCGUUGUGGCAGCAUUAAUGUUGCGGCCGCUAUAGCAGUUAUUAUUAUUAUUAGCUUGUUGACAAAGAGUCAAAACUUCAAAUUUUAUAAGGUAAUGAUCGGACAUUACUUUAGUAUAUGGAAGUAUCAUAACUUUGGAGGUGGUGACACCCCUGACAAGCACUAGAUCUAUUGUAUUACCGUUGCGAUGCGUGGGUCAUGUAUUAUUUGUGUAAGACCACAGCUAUCAUUUAUGGUUUGGAGCGCCACGCACUGAGGGUCCGAUGGGGUAUUCAUAUGGAUAUUAAAGUCCCCCAUUAUGAUUAUAUUGUCGGCGUGCGUCACUAGAUCAGCAACGAACUCUGAGAAUUCACUGAUAAAGUCCGAAUAGGGCCCAGGGGGGCGGUAGAUAACAGCCAGGUCGAGAGGUAGCGGUGUGACAGACCUCAUAGUAAGCACCUCAAACGAUUUAUAUUUAUUAUUUAGGUUAGGGGUAAGGUUGACAUUUUCAUUGUAUAUUAGUGCGACACCCCCUCCCCUUUUAAGAGGACGGGCAACAUGCGCAUUCGUAUAGUUAGGAGGAGAUGCCUCAUUGAGCGCAAAAAAUUUGUCCGGUUUGAGCCAGGUUUCGCUAAGACCAAUGACGUUAAGAUUGUUGUCUCUAAUGACCUCAUUAACCAAUAACGCCUUGGGAGACAAUGAUCUUAUGUUUAAAAAGCCCAUAUUAUAGGUAUUGGGCUGUUUUGACGAGUUUUUAAGAUUAUCCGUAGUGACAAUAUUAACAAUGUUGCGUUUAUUAUGCGUAGUGCACUUUAAAUAGUUUCGACCAUAUCUAGGAAUUGAUAUGACGGGAAUUUUCCGAUUUGUUUACUUGGUGCUGCAAUAGACUGGACAUAUCAUAAUUUGCCACCUCAGUAGAAUGCAUGUCCACCCCUGACACAGACACAACAGAAAAAACAUUAUGUGAAUUGUGUAUUAUUCUAAGAGAAUUGCUAUGCGUACAUGGAUUAUCCGGCCUGGCGCUGGCUAGUUCUAGCUUAACUGACUCCUCACCCGGACUAACAGACAUUGUAAUUGCCUGUGACCGGGCUUGUUCUAGUGUAGUCAGUCAAGUGAGACUUAAAUAGUAGUCUAUGUUUCUAGACAGGAUGAUGGCGCCUUCCUGGUUAGGGUGAAGGCCGUCUCAUCAGCAAGCCUGGUUUGCCCCAGAAAGAGGGCCAGUUAUCAAUAAACGUUAGUCCCUGCUCCCUACAGUAGCUAGCCAGCCACUUGUUAAGCGAGACUAAUCUGCUAUACCUCUCAUCAUUGCCUCUCGCAGGCAGGGGGCCAGAGACAAUUACUCGAUGCCUGGACAUCUUUCUGGCGAGAUCACAAGUCCUGGCUAUGUUUCUCUUUGUAAUCUCUGACUGUCUCAUUCUAGUGUCAUUGGAGCCAACGUGUACAACUAUAUUCGCAUAAUUAGUGGUGCGAUUAGCCUGUCGUACGUGUUUACUAGGCCUGUUGCGAGUUAGCUCCCUAAGAUUAGCUUCAAUGUCAGGUGCUCUGGCCCCGGGGAUACACUUUAUUGUGGCUGGUUUGCUAAGCUUUAUGUUUCGGGUGAUGGAGUCCCCUAUAACUAAGGUGUGGUGCCCGGUAGACUGGGGUGUAGGACUAGCUAAAGAGCUAAAUCUAUUAUGCGUCUCAACCGGUACACCGUAGCUUGUAGGCCGCUUAGGACUGCUACAAGCUGGGCUAGUUAGCUCGCUACAGCUAACGCUAGCAGAUGUGUCCGCAACAUCUAAAGUUACGACAUUACUCUGCUCUAACUGGCGGACACGGCCCUCUAGCAGAGCCAACCUCUCCGUGAGUAUGGUGCAAGACGCGCAGGAAGCCAUUACUCAGUGUUUUCUGUCACCGAGGGAAGUGACAGAAAUACUUUUAAUUUCAGUUAAGGUAAGAUACAAGUUACAAAUGAAAGUUUAUUAUCAGCCCACUCAAGUAGUCAUACCUUUUUCUCAGUUGUGCGAGCUCAUGUUUGGUGUGCAGCAGAUCCACUGCAAGAGAUUGCUUAAACUUAACAACAAUAUUGUAAUGUCAGAUUGUAGAAUCUACAUUCCUUACAUUUCAGUUCAACAUUGCGAAUCUUAGCUUUGACCUUUUUCUUGUUUUCCCUGACCCCCUGCAGCCGUUCUUGCAGCCUUCUUUUGUCCGCUCGCAGAGACUCUUCCUGCCUCCUGUACUCCGCCAUGUCUCUGGCAUCCUCCAUCACCUCUUGGUGGAGCCGUGUAACGUCCUGUUCACCACAAGUAAAUCCACACAGCAAUCAUACUGUAUAUAUGGCAAGAUAACUGCAGGAUAUUUCUGUGUAACAGAGGAGUGACUAACUCAUGAAUGUGUGAAAAUAUUUCCCGGUCUUAUUCUUUUAUUUCUGAUUUAGAACAUGACACUGAGUUUGUGUGUUUUUUGGACACAAUAUUUUGGCAUUAAAAAAUGCCACACAUUCUGCUGCAUGUGUGCCUGCUUACCUUUUCUAAGGAAGACUUUAAACAUGGAAGUUGUUCAACAUUAAA
Molecule: long non-coding RNA, 7572 nt
Organism: Entelurus aequoreus (snake pipefish)
Lineage: Eukaryota; Metazoa; Chordata; Actinopteri; Syngnathiformes; Syngnathidae
Exons: 6
Source: RefSeq, a predicted model, not a curated record